RNAcentral lists this ribosomal RNA (239 nucleotides) under uncultured bacterium. RNAcentral describes it as "partial 16S ribosomal RNA". It matches the Rfam family "Bacterial small subunit ribosomal RNA", at positions 30 to 258 of the family's 1533-position model. The record is from RNAcentral.
AUUGAACGCUGGCGGCAUGCCUUACACAUGCAAGUCGAACGGCAGCACGGGGGCAACCCUGGUGGCGAGUGGCGAACGGGUGAGUAAUACAUCGGAACGUAUCCAGUCGUGGGGGAUAACCAGUCGAAAGAUUGGCUAAUACCGCAUGAGAUCGAAAGAUGAAAGCGGGGGACCCCGAGGGCAACUGAGGGGCCUCGCGCGAUCGGAGCGGCCGAUGUCGGAUUAGCAGUUGGCGGGGU